Molecule: unclassified non-coding RNA, 342 nt
Filed under: soil metagenome
Description: partial contains 5.8S ribosomal RNA, internal transcribed spacer 2, and large subunit ribosomal RNA
Rfam family: 5.8S ribosomal RNA (bases 1-120)
Source: RNAcentral
GAUGAAGAACGCAGCGAAAUGCGAUAAGUAGUGUGAAUUGCAGAAUUCAGUGAAUCAUCGAAUCUUUGAACGCACAUUGCGGCCAUAGGUAUUCCUUUGGCCAUGCCUGUUCGAGCGUCAUUUACACCCUCAAGCCUAGCUUGGUGUUGGGCGUCUGUCCCGCCGUUCUCGCGCGCGGACUCGCCUCAAAGUCAUUGGCGGCGGUCGUGCCGGCCCCCUCGCGCAGCACAUUUGCGCUUCUCGGAGGCCCGGCGGAUCCGCGCUCCAGCGAGACCUUUCACGACUUGACCUCGGAUCAGGUAGGGAUACCCGCUGAACUUAAGCAUAUCAAUAAGCGGAGGA